RNAcentral lists this unclassified non-coding RNA (225 nucleotides) under air metagenome. RNAcentral's name for it is "partial contains small subunit ribosomal RNA, internal transcribed spacer 1, and 5.8S ribosomal RNA". The stretch from base 1 to 46 matches the Rfam family "Eukaryotic small subunit ribosomal RNA", at positions 1786 to 1831 of the family's 1831-position model. The record is from RNAcentral.
AAGUCGUAACAAGGUUUCCGUAGGUGAACCUGCGGAAGGAUCAUUACUGAGACUGGGUGCUUCGGCGCCCGACCUCCAACCCCUUGUCUAUCUACCACUGUUGCCUCGGCGCGCUCCCCUCGCGGGGGGCCGCCGGCGGCCCAAACAUAAACCCUUCUUGAACCACGUCUUCUGAGAAAUAGAAUUAAUAAUUCAAAACUUUCAACAACGGAUCUCUUGGUUCUG